AUUGAACGCUGGCGGCAGGCCUAACACAUGCAAGUCGAGCGGAUGAAGGGAGCUUGCUCCUGGAUUCAGCGGCGGACGGGUGAGUAAUGCCUAGGAAUCUGCCUGGUAGUGGGGGAUAACGUCCGGUAACGGGCGCUAAUACCGCAUACGUCCUGAGGUAGAAAGUGGGGGAUCUUCGGACCUCACGCUAUCAGAUGAGCCUAGGUCGGAUUAGCUAGUUGGUGGGGUAAAGGCCUACCAAGGCGACGAUCCGUAACUGGUCUGAGAGGAUGAUCAGUCACACUGGAACUGAGACACGGUCCAGACUCCUACGGGAGGCAGCAGUGGGGAAUAUUGGACAAAGGGCGAAAGCCUGAUCCAGCCAUGCCGCGUGUGUGAAGAAGGUCUUCGGAUUGUAAAGCACUUUAAGUUGGGAGGAAGGGCAGUAAGUUAAUACCUUGCUGUUUUGACGUUACCAACAGAAUAAGCACCGGCUAACUUCGUG
Molecule: ribosomal RNA, 484 nt
Filed under: uncultured bacterium
Lineage: Bacteria
Description: partial 16S ribosomal RNA
Rfam family: Bacterial small subunit ribosomal RNA
Source: RNAcentral